AUCUCAUUUCCACCACGUGUGAAAUUCACCAUCAGCUGAAUUUACUCGGAAGCCAUCGUUGCCUUUCCUUGGAGCGUUCGUCUCUCUGCACCGGGUCAACGGACUUUCCUCUCAUCUCACGAUGCCUCCCAGGGCUGCCGCCUUCCCAGAGUGCCUAGUGUGUGUGUGUGAGCCAUCAUUCAUUCUUGGGUCAGAGUUGAAGCUGCUGGAUCAGAGAUGAAUUGGCCAUCGGAAGAGUCCUGCUGGGCAGCCAUCUGCGGGAUGACGAGCCCUUCUGCCCAGAGUCCUAGAGACCGGACCGGGGGGGGGUUCAUUGGAAACGGUUCUGGCAGGCAAAGAGGAUUAAUAACACGUUGCCCUUCCCAAAGAAGUGCUUCAGCAAUUAGCUUCUGUUGAGAGAGAUCUGAAGUCACACAGCCAUUUUAGCUGCUGCGUCAUUCCCAGGCCGGUCAGAAUCCAAAAGGAACAUUUCUCGAGAGACAUAUUGGUGAUGCACUGAAAACGACUCUCCUGUUGUGGAAAACAAGAUGCUUACCUCUUUGGUUAGCCUCCUCCGUCAUGCUAUGAUUGAAACAUUCAGGAGGUGGUAGGCUACUUUUAAAGUAAAAUCGAUUAUGUGUUGCUAAUUGAGAAAGAAGCUAACGUGUUUUUGACUGCUUGGACAACAUGGUGUGGCGGUUUGUGUUUUUAACACUUAAACAUAAUGGAACGGAUGGAUUAUGGCCAUUGCCAGGGAAAAUAAACACCAUGAUUGUUGA
Cyclopterus lumpus (lumpfish) is the source of this 758-nucleotide long non-coding RNA. RefSeq lists it as uncharacterized. The transcript has 2 exons. Lineage: Eukaryota; Metazoa; Chordata; Actinopteri; Perciformes; Cyclopteridae. The record is from RefSeq and is a predicted model, not a curated record.